RNAcentral lists this ribosomal RNA (348 nucleotides) under Triticum aestivum (bread wheat). RNAcentral describes it as "partial small subunit ribosomal RNA". The record is from RNAcentral. Lineage: Eukaryota; Viridiplantae; Streptophyta; Magnoliopsida; Poales; Poaceae.
AUGGCUAGCCAGCAAAACUUCUUUUCUCUCAAGGCGAAGAUCUCUUCACCUUUGGCUACCAUUGAAACAAUGUUCGAUGGCUUCAGGAGGUGUGUACUUGUGUACAAUAGCAUCAAGGAGAUCAUAUGCAGCCAAAUUAUCCUUUGCCAGAGCAACAAAGGCCAAGAUACAGUCCUUCAUUCAUCUGACCAAGAUGGCGCAAAAACAGUGGAAGAAAAUCAAUGGAAAUCUCCUUCAGCUGAGAAGGAAGGUGGUCAAACUGUUGGCCGGAGCAAGAGAGGUCGUUACUUCGAUGCUUCAGUCAUCCACGCGGCUCCUACUGAAGCAAAUUGUGAUGCCGAGUUAUAA